Molecule: ribosomal RNA, 253 nt
Filed under: uncultured bacterium
Lineage: Bacteria
Description: partial 16S ribosomal RNA
Rfam family: Bacterial small subunit ribosomal RNA
Source: RNAcentral
UACAGAGGUCCCAAGCGUUGUUCGGAUUCACUGGGCGUAAAGGGCGCGUAGGCGGCCUGGCAAGUGGAAGGUGAAAUCCCUCGGCUUAACCGAGGAACUGCCCUCCAAACUGCUUGGCUUGAGUCCGGGAGAGGUGAGUGGAAUUCCCAGUGUAGCGGUGAAAUGCGUAGAUAUUGGGAGGAACACCAGUGGCGAAGGCGGCUCACUGGACCGGAACUGACGCUGAGGCGCGAAAGCGUGGGGAGCAAACGGG